RNAcentral lists this ribosomal RNA (502 nucleotides) under uncultured bacterium. RNAcentral describes it as "partial 16S ribosomal RNA". It matches the Rfam family "Bacterial small subunit ribosomal RNA", at positions 30 to 523 of the family's 1533-position model. The record is from RNAcentral.
AUUGAACGCUGGCGGCAUGCUUUACACAUGCAAGUCGAACGGCAGUAUAGGUGCUUGCACCUGAUGGCGAGUGGCGAACGGGUGAGUAAUAUAUCGGAACAUGUCCGGAAGUGGGGGAUAACGUAGCGAAGGUUACGCUAAUACCGCAUAUGCUCUGAGGGGGAAAGGGGGGGAUCGCAAGACCUCCCGCUUUCCGAGUUGCCGAUAUCGGAUUAGCUAGUAGGUGAGGUAACGGCUCACCUAGGCGACGAUCCGUAGCUGGUCUGAGAGGACGACCAGCCACACUGGGACGGAGAUGCGGCCCAGACUCCUACGGGAGGCAGCAGUGGGGAAUUUUGGACAAUGGGCGCAAGCCUGAUCCAGCCAUGCCGCGUGAGUGAAGAAGGCCUUCGGGUUGUAAAGCUCUUUCAGCCGGAAAGAAAUCGUACUUAUUAAUACUAAGUGCGGAUGACGGUACCGGAAGAAGAAGCACCGGCUAACUACGUGCCAGCAGCCGCAGUAA